UAGCAAAACAAAAAAAAGUAUGACACAUUAUAUAAACGUUAUAAUGCUAUAUUUUUCCCAUCUUCAGGUGUAGCUGAACGAUUAACCUUUAAAAUAAAUAAAUAAACUAAUUUCAGUUUGAAACACUGUCCCCUUUACAAGCUUUCAACCAUGUAAAAUGCCUGUAAAGGAGUUCGACCAAUCAGAAGUGUCCAAACACAACGUUGUGUACGUGACAACACAUCAGCAACUACUACCCAGCUACCACACAGCUCAGGCUCUAUGUCAGUUGUUGUCCUGCGAUAACCGUACAUCUGGCUGUAGUUUGACUGACUGUGGGUGUCAGAAACUGUGUAUUUACGCUGAUUUUCUUCAAAUAGGAGUAAGAGACGAUUGUAUUUUUACAGUAGAGAUAGUUGAUGCAGACAACUCGGAGCCUGAUCAGUGUUUCCCACACAUAUGUGAUACUUGGGCACUGGUGAGCAGCGAGAAAGAGGGGCAGGGCACAGCAGUAGUGACAUAAACGAAUGAGACGGACGAUGUGAGGAGACCUGAUGAAGCUUCUUCUUUCACUGUUAGCUUGGACGUUAAUUACCAUAUAAGCUUGGGCUGGGCUUGAGACCCUCAUAAUCUGCACACUUUGUGUGGCUAUAGCAGAGAACAGAACCAUGACCAACCGUAACCAAUGAAGAGUACAGUGUCCUGGACGACAGUACAGUAUUGCUUAUGCUAAUAGAGACUGAUUUAUUGAAUAAGUCAUUGAUGACAACUCCCCAUGGCUAGUUUGCAUUUAUUGAGCACGUAACACAUCCGGCUUCCCGUUUAACUACGCAGAAUAAUCCACUUUAACCAGGUUCACUCAACAUAUUCUGAAUGCUGGAAUGUAAGCAACAGAUAAACAUUGUCCAAUUUUUGUUGUGAAUGUUAUGUGUUAUGUGAAAGUUUGGAGGAAUACCUUUCAACCUAAUCAGACUAUUUAUAACUUACCUGUGCUCAAGUGAUUAGCAAGGAGCUUCUCACAACUCGCUCUCCUCUUUAUCAGGGGCUGAAAACUGCAAUCUAGAAAAAGUUUUCUAAUAAAUUUUCAGGGUGCUUUUAUUUUUAUUUAAAUCAGUGGUUUUUACUCUUGAGUGAGAGGUAUGAUUUUUGUACUGUAACAUGCUUAUAUUUAGGAUUUCAUGUCAAUAUAGAUUAUAUAAUGAUUGGGAGGUCGCUAUGCUUUCAGUGCAAAGAAAACUCCGCCUCCUAGAUUUACCUCAUUACAAACAGACGAAGUGCGUAUUUGUUUGCGCCAAAUCUGAAUCAAUCAAUCGUAUGUUUUGAUUUGGAAAUUCGUUAAACAAAAGCUGAAUCGCGUUCAUGCACAAAUAGUAAACCCAAUAGUUAUUACGUCAAUAUUAAUUUGAUGGGAAAUUACAGUUGCAGGAAAUGGAGCAGUAUUGUUAGUUCCAGGAGUCAGUAAGUGAGCUGGGUGUAGUGACCGAGGAGAUUCAGAUCCAGAAACCCUAACACCAUUGACCUACAACAACCCCAGAGCCCCAAUCAUACAUUUCAGUGGGAAACACUAAGUGCUAGAAAAUAAUCACAACUUAAAUUGCAAUCAAUAAAACAAUAUUAUUCAGAUUUUGAUAUGUCCCCAAAAUCCUCAUUCAGCCUUAUCGCUACAUGAAACGUAAAGGUAUAGAUCAGCCAAAAAUGCUAACACGAAGAUCAAUAAAGGUAAUCUGGUAGGACAUACCCAGUGUCAGCACAUUUAGCAUUUUUGUUCCACUAUGCCUUUAUUUUCUUAUAGCUUGCAUAUAGAGUAGAUACAGGGCUUAUGAGCUGCAAAGGAUGUUAGUUGCAUCUAGAAAUUAAACAGAGAAAAUGACCUCAAGGGAGGAAAAAGAGAGAAGAAAAAAAAAAAGAGUAAACUUAAG
Molecule: long non-coding RNA, 1898 nt
Organism: Ictalurus punctatus (channel catfish)
Lineage: Eukaryota; Metazoa; Chordata; Actinopteri; Siluriformes; Ictaluridae
Source: Ensembl